UCGGACUGGACUAGGACUAGGAGAGCCCAGACUAGGAGACAUGUCAUGUCCUGUUCUUCUUCUCUGUCCUUCGUGGUGCUGUGUUACGAUGACGUAUGAGGAGCUGAGGGAGACAGACGCUGCUGUGUGUGAGACGGGAGUGUCUGUCUCACCCUGGGACGGACACAACACACACACAGACGUGUCCUGUGUCCAGUCAACGUGGUUUUAUUGACAACACUGUUCAACUCUUAUCAAACCUUUAUAAAAGUUGUCAAAAAUAUCCAUCUUUUACAGGCCACUUCUCAACAGUUAGCUUAAAAAAGCUAACUAGAUAAAUAAAUAAAUAAAAUACCAGGACGAUGAAGACAUUUUUGUCCCAUUGAAGACGGGACAGUCGGGGCGUGGUCUCACUGGAUUCUCAGCCUGCGGCGCCCACAGUGGAGCCAGACGGACCUCAGGCCACGUCACUACUGGACACGCCCAUCACAGGUCGGCUCAUUAACCAGGUCAGUUUUGGGAAUUACAUUUUUUUUUCCAUUUUUACUUUACGUGAUUUUCAUUUUCCAACACGAUGUUGAUCAAAGUGGACCUGGAGCCUCCUGUUGAACACAGUUCCUUUACUGUUUUCAGCAUGGACUGAGGACAAACCACAGAGAGACUGACAUGUCUGUUUGUCAUGUAAUGACUGACAUUUACCAACAGGGCUUUGAUGAAUCAGGUAAAAAUAUAUAUCUGUGACAAUUCUCAUUGGUUAAAAUAAAAAAUGAAUCUCACAUCAAGGUGUGAGAAGUAAACUGAGUUAUCACUGGUCACACCAUGACACUACACACUCUAGUACAGUAGGUGGCAGUAUAAUCCUAAAAAUGUUGCUUGUGACCCACUAUUAGAGUGUUUGGUUCCAUCCAUAUUUACUGUUCAACUAAAUGUGAUCUUGGUGAAUUCACAAGUCCCUCAGCUUCAACACAUUAUCAUUGUUGUUUAUAUCAUGACUUCACAUCAGUUCUGGACACUCACUGUGUGAACCAGGAGUCUGUCGAAGAAGAAGAACAGGACAAAAGUACUGAUGAUUAUAGUGUUUAUAAAAGUGUGUUUUCUGUUAAUUAACCUAAAACCAUCAACACUCAUCAGUGACCUAUACCAUGUGACCUGUACCAUGUGACGUCCAAUCAUCCAGUUCAAAUGUGAAGAGAGGACGACACUGUGUCUUCUGUCCUCACCAAAUAAAGACACUGAGUUUGUCUUUGUCUCCAGACGCUGGUGUGACACAACAGUGCAUGGUACUCUAUAUAAACAGUACCAGUGCCUGAGGAGCGCUGUGCAGUCAUAACUCAGCCCUCAGUGGUGUUAGGACAGCCAGGAGGAGGAGGAGGAGUGGGAGGAGGAGGACAUUGGUCCAGACUGGGAGUCUUUGUGGAGGACAGAACAAAGAGCUGCCUUCACUGACCUGCUGUCAGUCUGGACGGACGGACGGGUCACUGUGGUCAGGGACUGUGGACGGACGGAGACACUGAACGCUGCUGCUCUUCUCCUCAUCAUCCUCCUCCUCAUCAUCAUCAUCAGUUCUCUCCUCCGUCUGAUCGGAGACAUGA
Long non-coding RNA from Cynoglossus semilaevis (tongue sole), 1571 nucleotides. RefSeq lists it as uncharacterized. The record is from RefSeq and is a predicted model, not a curated record. Lineage: Eukaryota; Metazoa; Chordata; Actinopteri; Pleuronectiformes; Cynoglossidae. The transcript has 2 exons.